GGGGUUGUGACUCAGUGGUAGAGUGCUCACCUAACAUGUGUGAGGCCCUAGGUUCAAUCUUCAGCACCA
This 69-nucleotide transfer RNA is filed under the name Ictidomys tridecemlineatus (thirteen-lined ground squirrel). Its description in RNAcentral is "Spermophilus tridecemlineatus (thirteen-lined ground squirrel) tRNA". It matches the Rfam family "tRNA". Rfam says of the family: Transfer RNA (tRNA) molecules are approximately 80 nucleotides in length. Their secondary structure includes four short double-helical elements and three loops (D, anti-codon, and T loops). Further hydrogen bonds mediate the characteristic L-shaped molecular structure. tRNAs have two regions of fundamental functional importance: the anti-codon, which is responsible for specific mRNA codon recognition, and the 3' end, to which the tRNAs corresponding amino acid is attached (by aminoacyl-tRNA synthetases). tRNAs cope with the degeneracy of the genetic code in two manners: having more than one tRNA (with a specific anti-codon) for a particular amino acid; and 'wobble' base-pairing, i.e. permitting non-standard base-pairing at the 3rd anti-codon position. Lineage: Eukaryota; Metazoa; Chordata; Mammalia; Rodentia; Sciuridae. The record is from Rfam by way of RNAcentral.